This 501-nucleotide long non-coding RNA is filed under the name Equus caballus (horse). Its description in RNAcentral is "lncRNA (ENSECAG00000050949.1)". The record is from RNAcentral. Lineage: Eukaryota; Metazoa; Chordata; Mammalia; Perissodactyla; Equidae.
GUUUAACUGCUGGAAUGAGCAGGAAACAGAUUCUUCCCUGGAGCCUCAGGAAUGGAUCACAGCCCUGCCAACAUCUUGAUUUCAGACUCGGACAUUCUAAGCCAGAGAACCAGCCUAACCCAUUGCACUUCUGACUUACCGAACUGUGAGAUAACACAUGUAUAUGUUUUAGGUUUGUGGUAAUUUAUUACAGCAGUGAUAGAAAACUAAUACAAUCAUUUUCAUGUGGACCUGCUAGGGUCUUCCAUCAUAUCUUCUAACUGGUUGUUGCUUAUGACCUACACACAGCGGUUAAACUGUCAAUGAAAGAGAAGAAAAGAAAAUCAGUGCCCACUCAGAGGGAAACAGCCAUGGGAACUUUGACUUCUGGACUGAGCUGAAGAUUGUGUAAAAUGUGGAACACAAAGUUAGGAUACAAAAUGUAUUAAAAAUAGAUGUUAUGAAUCAGCAAUAAAGUUUACCCAAGGCAUUCAUUUCUUUAAUGGUUGCUCAGAAAACACA